UGCUGGGAGGGCACUUGGAAUCAA
This 24-nucleotide ribosomal RNA is filed under the name Odorrana chloronota. RNAcentral describes it as "partial 12S ribosomal RNA". The record is from RNAcentral. Lineage: Eukaryota; Metazoa; Chordata; Amphibia; Anura; Ranidae.